ACCAGAGGCUGUUGAAAAAUGGCGACUGUUACUGAAUUGAAAGCUGUUUCACCUUGGAAAAAAGGGGAGUGUUAAGACAUUUAAAAGCAAGGAUCUGUGCUGAAGUUUUCACUGCCCUGGAUGAUGAUCGUGAACCCCGACCAUCAUUGUCUCAUGAGAACUUUCUAAUUAAUGGAUUAAUUAGGGAUUAUUUGGAAUUCAACAAAUAUAAAUACACAGCCUCUGUCCUCAUAGCAGAAUCUGGUCAACCUGUAGUUCCAUUGGACAGGCAGUGUCUCAUCCGUGAACUAAAUGCCUUUGAAGAAUCAAAGGAUAACUCAAUCCC
This 325-nucleotide long non-coding RNA is filed under the name Rattus norvegicus (Norway rat). RNAcentral describes it as "long non-coding RNA NONRATT000961". The record is from RNAcentral. Lineage: Eukaryota; Metazoa; Chordata; Mammalia; Rodentia; Muridae.